Molecule: ribosomal RNA, 271 nt
Filed under: uncultured archaeon
Lineage: Archaea
Description: partial 16S ribosomal RNA
Rfam family: Archaeal small subunit ribosomal RNA
Source: RNAcentral
CAGCGCCACAAGUGGCAAUCACGUUUAUUGGGCCUAAAGCGUCCGUAGCCGGUUUAGCAAAUCUUUUGUGAAAUCGUCAGGCUUAACUUGACGAAUUGCUGAAGACACUACUAAACUAGGGACUGGGAGGAGUCAGAAGUAUUCUGGGGGGACCGGUAAAAUGGUAUAAUCCCCAGAGGACUACCGAUGGCGAAGGCAUCUGACCAGAACAGAUCCGACGGUGAGGGACGAAAGCCAGGGGAGCAAACCGGAUUAGAUACCCGAGUAGUCC